CCUAACCCAAAAACAGAGGCCCAUUUAAAUGCGGACAAGGCUAUAUACAACACAAACCCUAAGGUUUGUUUCCAUCGCCACUCCCAUAGCUACCGAUUUCUACCUUGCGUUCAAAGAGGCGAUUCGUUCGCUAGAGUUUCUCCUUCAACCAUGAGAGCUAAGUGGAAGAAGAAGCGUAUGAGGAGGUUGAAGAGGAAGCGCCGAAAGAUGAGACAGAGAUCCAAGUAGUCUACCCAAUUCUCGGCGCGUCGUUUCUAGGGUUUCAUCUUCGUUUACGUUAUUUGCUUUUCGAAUUUUGUUAUGUAAUAGUGGGUUAUGACUCUUCUAAACUUCAUGUUCUUGGAUCUACUCUUUAAUCAAUUGAGAUUUUCGUUCAUAAUCACUGUUAUUUUUUUUUUAAUAUUUGGUAUUUGUUUAAUGUUUAGUUAUUUAUCUGGUGAUAAUUGCGUAUUAUUCUUUUAUAUUUCUGUUUUUAUCGCCGGUUCUAUUUCGUUGGAUAUUUUCUUUUGAAAGUAGCUGAUUUAGUAUGUUGGUAUGUUAUUUUGUGAUUAAAUAAAUUAGGAUCCGAGUGAAAUUAUAGUUGGCAGUGGCACAGCAUUGUGAUCUUGCAAUAAUGUUAAAAUGUUUGAUGAAUCAGCUCAGGUUUUUAUCUUUGCUGAACCAGUUCUUAGUUUUUUGGUUUAUCUUUAACUAUAGCAUUAAAUAAUUUAUGUUGAAACGGCAUAAUUUCCUUGUGCAAUCAAAUGCCAAUAGCUGUUCUGUGUUUGCUGUGGAUGAAAUUGAUGAGAUAUUAUGGGGAAAAUUCUAUCGUGCCACUGCUUCAAUAUAGCUGCACCGUUCCGAUUGAGACACGUGUAAUGUAAAAAAAAAGAAAAAAAAGAGGUAACCAUGGUUUGGCUGGCCGCUCGAGGCUGGCCGCUCAAGGAAAAAAUUGCAGAAAUUUCCACCCGAAGAAAAAAUUGGAUUGGAUCCGUGUCUGAGAUACGUCGAGAAAUUUUGGCCGAGAGCAACAUUGUUCAACGGCGAAUUUGACGCUGAAUCCGAAUAUGUUUUCAGAUUCAAGAACGAUGGCGUAUAAAAAAAGUGCCUGAGAGUUUCGGUGAGGCGAUCACUGUUUCGGCCAACGGCUCUCGAUAUUUGCGCCAGAUUUUUCAACGGGAACAUGAUGAUUGCAGUUGCUCUUGCUGUUGCAGCCAUCCCUGAAGGGCUACCUGCUGUUGUUACAACGUGUCUAGCUCUUGGAACGAAACGAAUGGCUCGUUUAAAUGCUAUAGUUAGGUCAUUGCCAUCAGUAGAGACCUUAGGCUGUACAACAGUGAUUUGCAGUGACAAGACUGGUACUCUGACUACUAAUAUGAUGUUUGUCUCGAAGGUAUCUGUGCUCCAUUCUGCAAAUCAUGUUCCUGUUGUAGUUUAAUACAUUGUAAGUGGCACCACAUAUGCUCCAGAAGGUACUAUCUCCGACAGCACUACAGAGCUACAGCUUGGGCUUCCAGCUAAUUUUCACUGCCUUCUACACACAGCAAUGUGCUCUGCCCUUUGCAAUGAAUCUAUUAAUCAGAGGCAUGUCUGACUGAAACAUAAGGAAGUUUGGACAACCAUCUGGUUGCACCAUUUCGUUAUUGGGUAUAAUUUCCAACUAUUUAGAUAUGGAACCUGUUGUCCAAUUACCACUUGUGAUUUCCUCACCAGUCUAUGGCAGGCAGUAUUAUAGCUAAAGUCAAUGAUAUUGUUGGUUUGAGGAAUUCAACCACAUGCUUAUUUAUGGAAUGAGGAAUGAGUCUUUCAUAUGUGGCUAUUUUUUUCAAACUGACACUAAUGUUGUACUUAAAUACUAGCUUCUUGCAAUUUUUCCAUAGUUUUCUGUCAAUUUGUUUGUUUAGGUUUCUUUUCUUGCUUAGAUGAGGUGUUCCUUAUGUCCUCUUUUUGUUGUCAUGCACUUGGUUGGAGAUAAUGCUCCUCUACAUUUCACACCAGCUCUUCAGUUUUGAAAAACUCCACAAAUAUCUUGGUCUUAUCGGGCUUGCGUAUAGUUUAUGUCUUAUUAUUAUAUACGAGGACAAUCUUCUGCCUACUUGAUUUUCUUUUGCUUGUUUAUAGUUUGUUGUUGCUGGAACAUGUUUUUGACUAGAUCUGAAGAAUAUUAUGAAUUAUACAAGGCGAAAGAUGGAGGGGGCUUUCCUCUUUUUUAUGUUUGUCGAAUUUAGGUGAAUCUAUUCUAAUAGUUCAGCAGGUCAAAAUCAUUUGCACUGUCUUUUUAUAGUCUCUAUUCCCAAACUUACUCAUGGAGCCUUUUCUUUUACUUAGGAAAUUAUAUUACAACCCUGGAACUGGAGGGUUUCAGUGAGCGUCACUUCAAACAUAAAAAAAACAGCAGAACCAUUUGGUGUGUCCAAUAACUCACCUAAAUGCUCUUAUUUGCAGCUAUGAAACAGUUCAGUCCAAGGGAAAGCAAACAUCAGGUUAACCAGGACCAUGGACUUUAUAGUAUGUAUUAGUAAGGUGUUGUCGUUAGCUGUUAUCAGAGCUAUUCUCUCCCAAUUUUAUCCUGAAAAUUACUGUAGCCCCUGGCCGAUUGGCUCAAAGCAGCAGAAGCUAGCCACAUCUGUAUCAUUCAUUGGCUCAAAGCAGCAGAAGCUAGCCACAUCUGAUAUAAAGGAUGACGACGUUGCAAAGUGGAAGAAGGUGGAGAUGGUGUUGGAAGCAUAUGGAUCAGAUGCUAAUUCAAUAUUGCAGCUGACAACAUCAAAAAGGUCUACAAUAUGGCUUGAUCAAGUCUCAGCACUACCUUUGGACACUCACAAUGGACAUGGAUUUCGACAAGAUCUUUUCGACAUGCUUGCUGCUUUGAAGCCGGGAUUUAUUAGAUUUCCAGGUACUUGAUGUGUAACAGAUUUCCUAUUCCCAUUGUUUCAUAGGAUUCAGCUACAAGAGAACGUGAGUUUGGCGUGUUUUCUUGGAAGGCGGCUCGUUUGUGGAAGAGACAGACUGAUGAAUGCAUUUAGAUGAAUGCAUUAAUUUAGUUUUGAAAAGUCUAUUUCUCUUUCAUAACUCGUCAUGGAUGUGCCACUCGGAUGCCAAGCAGCUGAGAAGGUCUGAAAUUCGAAUCCUUUUCCGUUUAGCUAGUAAUGUUGCUGUCAAAUACUUCAUGGUUUGUUAGACUAGGAAAAAUGGAUUUCUAGGAACCAGAUUUGGGAUCUACACUUGCCUCAUUAUGCUAUUCAUUUUAUUCAUUAGGAAAGAUGAGAGUUAUUGGUUUUGAAAUUUUGAUCUAUUAAAUGACCAGUUCAUUUGUCAUGCUGUUGUGACUACUGUCAUCUGUUCAACUCGAUAACCUUAUUUGAAUUAGCAACUGACUUACAUAUUGCAA
This is an RNA transcript of Salvia miltiorrhiza (redroot sage), 3370 nucleotides long. It is a transcript of the gene named alpha-L-arabinofuranosidase 1-like, with no coding region annotated. The transcript has 9 exons. Lineage: Eukaryota; Viridiplantae; Streptophyta; Magnoliopsida; Lamiales; Lamiaceae. The record is from RefSeq and is a predicted model, not a curated record.